CGUCUAUGCCAUUCCACCCUGAACACACCACGUCUCAUCUGAUCUCAGAAGCUAAGCAGGGUCAGGUCUGAUUAGUACUUGAAUGAAAGACAUACAUUGAUAC
Molecule: non-coding RNA, 103 nt
Organism: Erinaceus europaeus (western European hedgehog)
Lineage: Eukaryota; Metazoa; Chordata; Mammalia; Eulipotyphla; Erinaceidae
Source: Rfam